AUACGUAGGUGGCGAGCGUUGUCCGGAUUUACUGGGUGUAAAGGGUGCGUAGGCGGGAUUGCAAGUCAGGCGUGAAAUGCAUCGGCUUAACCGAUGAAUUGCGCUUGAAACUGCAGUUCUUGAGUGAAGUAGAGGCAGGCGGAAUUCCGAGUGUAGCGGUGAAAUGCGUAGAUAUUCGGAGGAACACCAGUGGCGAAGACGGCCUGCUGGGCUUUUACUGACGCUGAGGCACGAAAGCAUGGGUAGCAAACAGGAUUAGAUACCCUGGUAGUCCAUGCCGUAAACGAUGAUUACCAGGUGUGGGGGGUCUGACCCCCUCCGUGCCGUAGUUAACACAAUAAGUAAUCCACCUGGGGAGUACGACCGCAAGGUUAAA
This 376-nucleotide ribosomal RNA is filed under the name uncultured bacterium. Its description in RNAcentral is "bacterial SSU rRNA". It matches the Rfam family "Bacterial small subunit ribosomal RNA", at positions 523 to 898 of the family's 1533-position model. The record is from RNAcentral.